CUUGAGGCGUGGCUUCCGGAGCUAACGCGUUAAAUCGACCGCCUGGGGAGUACGGCCGCAAGGUUAAAACUCAAAUGAAUUGACGGGGGCCCGCACAAGCGGUGGAGCAUGUGGUUUAAUUCGAUGCAACGCGAAGAACCUUACCUGGUCUUGACAUCCACAGAACUUGCCAGAGAUGGCUUGGUGCCUUCGGGAACUGUGAGACAGGUGCUGCAUGGCUGUCGUCAGCUCGUGUUGUGAAAUGUUGGGUUAAGUCCCGCAACGAGCGCAACCCUUAUCCUUUGUUGCCAGCGGUUCGGCCGGGAACUCAAAGGAGACUGCCAGUGAUAAACUGGAGGAAGGUGGGGAUGACGUCAAGUCAUCAUGGCCCUUACGACCAGGGCUACACACGUGCUACAAUGGCAUAUACAAAGAGAAGCGACCUCGCGAGAGCAAGCGGACCUCAUAAAGUAUGUCGUAGUCCGGAUUGGAGUCUGCAACUCGACUCCAUGAAGUCGGAAUCGCUAGUAAUCGUAGAUCAGAAUGCUACGGUGAAUACGUUCCCGGGCCUUGUACACACCGCCCGUCACACCAUGGGAGUGGGUUGCAAAAGAAGUAGGUAGCUUAACCUUCGGGAGGGCGCUUACCACUUUGUGAUUCAGUGACUGGGGUGAAGUCGUA
This 660-nucleotide ribosomal RNA is filed under the name Klebsiella sp. G. RNAcentral's name for it is "bacterial SSU rRNA". It matches the Rfam family "Bacterial small subunit ribosomal RNA", at positions 831 to 1490 of the family's 1533-position model. The record is from RNAcentral. Lineage: Bacteria; Pseudomonadati; Pseudomonadota; Gammaproteobacteria; Enterobacterales; Enterobacteriaceae.